GCNGNNGCCUAACACAUGCAAGUCGAGCGGAGACGAGUUAACUGAACCUUCGGGGAACGUUAACGGCGUCGAGCGGCGGACGGGUGAGUAAUGCCUGGGAAAUUGCCCUGAUGUGGGGGAUAACCAUUGGAAACGAUGGCUAAUACCGCAUGAUAGCUUCGGCUCAAAGAGGGGGACCUUCGGGCCUCUCGCGUCAGGAUAUGCCCAGGUGGGAUUAGCUAGUUGGUGAGGUAAUGGCUCACCAAGGCGACGAUCCCUAGCUGGUCUGAGAGGAUGAUCAGCCACACUGGAACUGAGACACGGUCCAGACUCCUACGGGAGGCAGCAGUGGGGAAUAUUGCACAAUGGGCGCAAGCCUGAUGCAGCCAUGCCGCGUGUAUGAAGAAGGCCUUCGGGUUGUAAAGUACUUUCAGCAGUGAGGAAGGUGGGUAUGUUAAUAGCAUAUUCAUUUGACGUUAGCUGCAGAAGAAGCACCGGCUAACUCCGUGCCAGCAGCCGCGGUAAUACGGAGGGUGCGAGCGUUAAUCGGAAUUACUGGGCGUAAAGCGCAUGCAGGUGGUUUGUUAAGUCAGAUGUGAAAGCCCGGGGCUCAACCUCGGAAUUGCAUUUGAAACUGGCAAACUAGAGUACUGUAGAGGGGGGUAGAAUUUCAGGUGUAGCGGUGAAAUGCGUAGAGAUCUGAAGGAAUACCGGUGGCGAAGGCGGCCCCCUGGACAGAUACUGACACUCAGAUGCGAAAAGCGUGGGGAGCAAACAGGAUUAGAUACCCUGGUAGUCCCACGCCGUUAACGUAUGUCCUACUUGGAGGUUUGUGGCCUUUGAGCCGUG
Molecule: ribosomal RNA, 828 nt
Filed under: uncultured bacterium
Lineage: Bacteria
Description: bacterial SSU rRNA
Rfam family: Bacterial small subunit ribosomal RNA
Source: RNAcentral